UAUAAUUCAUGGUAUAGUGUUUCAUUUGUGUUUAAAAACAUGUUAAAAGGUUAAAAAACUUGCUAAUUCAUGGUGUUUUAUGUUAAUUAAGGUAAAAUGGCUAAAAUAUGUGUUCAGACUCUUAUUGUGAAAGGGUACGCUGCAGCGUGACUCCUGUGAUCAGCCACACCCAAUCGUGUUGUUCCUUCUUUUUGAUGCUGGAGAGGGAGAAAUGCAGGUAGUCCUUGCGGAGCUGCUGCCUAAACGAGUGAAAAAAUAUUAAAAAACAAGCCAGAAGUCUACAUAAAGCCAUUUUUGUACUCUGGAGAAUAUAUUUUUGUUUUUCCGACCUGUCUUUGCCUUGGUGACGUCGUGAACGUAACCGAACGGGACUUGGCCAUUAAGAUUUGGAUCGGGAAAUGCCGAGCUAGAUUCGGAGUUUGAUCCGCUGAGCGAGAAACAAGAUGGCGAGCCACCCAGGGACCCAUUGAACUGUACCGAGCAGGAAAAAAGAAACCGCCCCCUGCUGGACGUUGAACUCUUUCACUAAAAAAAACUGGUAGGAUUAAUCCAUACACCUCUGCAAAAGAACAGUGGACUUUCAAAGCACUGGAAAAUCAUUCAGAGCAAUUCCAGGAUUUAUAGUUAAAGGACACAGAGACAAUUUUCUUUUGUUU
This is a long non-coding RNA of Oreochromis niloticus (Nile tilapia), 656 nucleotides long. RefSeq lists it as uncharacterized. The transcript is spliced from 2 exons. Lineage: Eukaryota; Metazoa; Chordata; Actinopteri; Cichliformes; Cichlidae. The record is from RefSeq and is a predicted model, not a curated record.